Molecule: ribosomal RNA, 465 nt
Filed under: uncultured bacterium
Lineage: Bacteria
Description: partial 16S ribosomal RNA
Rfam family: Bacterial small subunit ribosomal RNA
Source: RNAcentral
CCUACGGGAGGCAGCAGUAGGGAAUUUUCGUCAAUGGGCGCAAGCCUGAACGAGCGAUGCCGCGUGAGUGAAGAAGGCCUUCGGGUCGUAAAGCUCUGUUGCGGGGGAAAAAAGGCAGCAUCAGGAAAUGGGUGCUGACUGAUGGUGCCCCGCCAGAAAGUCACGGCUAACUACGUGCCAGCAGCCGCGGUAAUACGUAGGUGGCGAGCGUUAUCCGGAUGGAUUGGGCGUAAAGGGUGCGCAGGCGGUCCUGCAAGUCUGGAGUGAAACGCAUGAGCUCAACUCAUGCAUGGCUUUGGAAACUGGAGGACUGGAGAGCAGGAGAGGGCGGUGGAACUCCAUGUGUAGCGGUAAAAUGCGUAGAUAUAUGGAAGAACACCAGUGGCGAAGGCGGCCGCCUGGCCUGUUGCUGACGCUGAGGCACGAAAGCGUGGGGAGCAAAUAGGAUUAGAUACCCUUGUAGUC